GAUGAACGCUAGCUACAGGCUUAACACAUGCAAGUCGAGGGGCAGCAUGAACUUAGCUUGCUAAGUUUGAUGGCGACCGGCGCACGGGUGAGUAACACGUAUCCAACCUGCCGAUGACUCGGGGAUAGCCUUUCGAAAGAAAGAUUAAUACCCGAUGGCAUAGUUCUUCCGCAUGGUAGAACUAUUAAAGAAUUUCGGUCAUCGAUGGGGAUGCGUUCCAUUAGGUUGUUGGCGGGGUAACGGCCCACCAAGCCUUCGAUGGAUAGGGGUUCUGAGAGGAAGGUCCCCCCACAUUGGAACUGAGACACGGUCCAAACUCCUACGGGAGGCAGCAGUGAGGAAUAUUGGGUCAAUGGACGAGAGUCUGAACCAGCCAAGUAGCGUGAGGGAAGACGGGCCCCUACGGGGUUGUAAACCUCUUUUGUCGGAGAGUAAAGUACGCUACGUGUAGUGUAUUGCAAGUAUCCGAAGAAAAAGCAUCGGCUAACUCCGUGCCAGCAGCCGCGGU
Molecule: ribosomal RNA, 508 nt
Filed under: uncultured bacterium
Lineage: Bacteria
Description: bacterial SSU rRNA
Rfam family: Bacterial small subunit ribosomal RNA
Source: RNAcentral